CAAUUUCGUUCGAUAAUUCGAAUGAUUUUGUGAACUGAUAUUCAUGCGAUUACGAAAGAAACGCGCUUCUCUCUUGGAAUCGUCAGUGUUAUCAUCGGGUUAUCGGACUAUGACCGUCAAUGUUUAAGCGGGGUUACACACCGUACACAGUUGUUAGUCGCCCGGUAUUAGUUGAGAAGGAUGCGCACAUUUUAUACGAUUCUCAUGCUCGUGAUCCUCUCUGCGAGCCUCGGUGAAUGUUGGUCCUUCUCAAACGUCGCGACGUCCAUCGACAAAUUGAUACGACCGCGAAACACCUCGCAGGUUUUAAAUGUUAACGGAAAUGGCAGCGCUGCGUCAACAGUAUCCCCGGAGGUCACGGUACAAGGAAGAAUAAUAUUCAUACCACGAAGGAAUACAGUUUACUGUCAACCGGGUCAGCAAGUCGAUCGGCGUGGCAAAUGUAGACAAGUGUGGUGAAGCUCGUUUUGAUAAAUACGCAAGAUUCUUUAUAAUCAGUUGGACCACUCCUGUUUAUGAAAGAAAACAUCCCUGGGAAACAGGAGGAUUGACAGGAUUAAAAAAAACAAGAAUAUUAUUCUAAUAAAUAUCUAAUAGGCAUCUCUAUAGGUCUAUGAGAAUUGUAGAAAAUUAGAUGUAUUUAAUUAAUGAUUUAUGUAAGAUCUGUAGUUCAUCGAAUCGAAUUGGCAAUCGCAAAUCUCAUUCGAAAUGCAAUUAAGAUGUACAGACUACAAACUAAAUUAUAUUUUGUCAAGUAUAUUUAUUCUUACACAAGAAAUAGAUUAUGAUUUUAUAUUA
Long non-coding RNA from Mycetomoellerius zeteki, 798 nucleotides. RefSeq lists it as uncharacterized. The transcript has 3 exons. The record is from RefSeq and is a predicted model, not a curated record. Lineage: Eukaryota; Metazoa; Arthropoda; Insecta; Hymenoptera; Formicidae.